RNAcentral lists this ribosomal RNA (253 nucleotides) under uncultured bacterium. RNAcentral's name for it is "partial 16S ribosomal RNA". It matches the Rfam family "Bacterial small subunit ribosomal RNA", at positions 524 to 776 of the family's 1533-position model. The record is from RNAcentral.
UACAGAGGGUGCGAGCGUUAAUCGGAAUUACUGGGCGUAAAGGGCGCGUAGGCGGAUGUGCAAGUGAGAUGUGAAAUACCCGGGCUCAACCUGGGAACUGCAUCUUAAACUGCAUAUCUGGAGUACUGUAGAGGAUAGUGGAAUUUCCGGUGUAGCGGUGAAAUGCGUAGAGAUCGGAAGGAACAUCAGUGGCGAAGGCGACUGUCUGGACAGAUACUGACGCUGAGGCGCGAAAGCGUGGGGAGCAAACAGG